GCGCUCAUGGUGAAAGGGAUAUCACAAGAUCCUCCGGAGAUCUGGUUAGAGGUUCGAGUCCUCUUGAGCGCGCCA
This 75-nucleotide transfer RNA is filed under the name Thiosulfatimonas sediminis. RNAcentral describes it as "tRNA-Arg". It matches the Rfam family "tRNA". From Rfam's summary of the family: Transfer RNA (tRNA) molecules are approximately 80 nucleotides in length. Their secondary structure includes four short double-helical elements and three loops (D, anti-codon, and T loops). Lineage: Bacteria; Pseudomonadati; Pseudomonadota; Gammaproteobacteria; Thiotrichales; Piscirickettsiaceae. The record is from RNAcentral.